This 468-nucleotide ribosomal RNA is filed under the name uncultured bacterium. Its description in RNAcentral is "partial 16S ribosomal RNA". It matches the Rfam family "Bacterial small subunit ribosomal RNA", at positions 28 to 507 of the family's 1533-position model. The record is from RNAcentral.
GACGAACGCUGGCGGCGUGCUUAACACAUGCAAGUCGAACGGAAAGGCCCUGCUUUUGUGGGGUGCUCGAGUGGCGAACGGGUGAGUAACACGGGAGUAACCUGCCCUUGACUUUGGGAUAACUUCAGGCAACUGGGGCUAAUACCGGAUAGGAGCUCCUGCUGCAUGGUGGGGGUUGGAAAGUUUAGGCGGUUGUGGAUGGACUCGCGGCUUACCAGCUUGUUGGUGGGGUAGUGGCUUACCAAGGCUUUGAUGGGUAGCCGGCCUGAGAGGGUGAACGGGCUCAUUGGGACUGAGAUACGGCCCAGACUCCUACGGGAGGCAGCAGUGGGGAAUAUUGCACAGUGGGCGGAAGCCUGAUGCAGCAGCGCCGCGUGCGGAAUGACGGCCUUCGGGUUGUAAACCGCUUUCGCCUGUGACGAAGCGUGAGUGACGGUAAUGGGUAAAGAAGCACCGGCUAACUACGUG